This 311-nucleotide signal recognition particle RNA is filed under the name Haloarcula salinisoli. RNAcentral describes it as "Halomicroarcula salinisoli Archaeal signal recognition particle RNA". It matches the Rfam family "Archaeal signal recognition particle RNA". Lineage: Archaea; Methanobacteriati; Methanobacteriota; Halobacteria; Halobacteriales; Haloarculaceae. The record is from Rfam by way of RNAcentral.
GGAUGGACUAGGUCGGGGGGUUUGGCCCCCCUCUGUACCCGCACUAUGGUCAUCAGCGGGGACCGAACCCGGGGGCGUCCGGUCAGACGGACGCGGACCCCGUGAGCCAACGUGGAAGCCUCGUCCCACGGGGACGGCGGUCCACGUGGUCGCAUCUGCAGGGAUGCGCUCACGUGGUUAAACGAUGGCAGCCCGCCAGGCACGGAAGUGAGCAGCGGACCAUCGAACACCCGUCGCUCGUGGGGUCGCGGGGUGGAGGAGGCAAACGGGAUUACCCGCGUCCGAACGCCGGGCAAUCCCGGUGUCCGUUC